AGUGGGGAAUAUUGCACAAUGGGCGCAAGCCUGAUGCAGCCAUGCCGCGUGUAUGUAAGAAGGCCUUCGGGUUGUAAAGUACUUUCAGCAGUGAGGAAGGUGGGUAUGUUAAUAGCAUAUUCAUUUGACGUUAGCUGCAGAAGAAGCACCGGCUAACUCCGUGCCAGCAGCCGCGGUAAUACGGAGGGUGCGAGCGUUAAUCGGAAUUACUGGGCGUAAAAGCGCAUGCAGGUGGUUUGUUAAGUCAGAUGUGAAAGCCCGGGGCUCAACCUCGGAAUUGCAUUUGAAACUGGCAAACUAGAGUACUGUAGAGGGGGUAGAAUUUCAGGUGUAGCGGUGAAAUGCGUAGAGAUCUGAAGGAAUACCGGUGGCGAAGGCGGCCCCCUGGACAGAUACUGACACUCAGAUGCGAAAGCGUGGGGAGCAAACAGGAUUAGAUACCCUGGUAG
RNAcentral lists this ribosomal RNA (449 nucleotides) under uncultured bacterium. Its description in RNAcentral is "bacterial SSU rRNA". It matches the Rfam family "Bacterial small subunit ribosomal RNA", at positions 353 to 793 of the family's 1533-position model. The record is from RNAcentral.